Crocodylus porosus (Australian saltwater crocodile) is the source of this 80-nucleotide small nucleolar RNA. Lineage: Eukaryota; Metazoa; Chordata; Crocodylia; Crocodylidae. The record is from Ensembl.
CUGGUCACGUGAUGAAUAAAACCAAAUCACCAUCUUUCGGCUGAUCUUGCUGAUGAUUUGUUUUUAUCUGACUAAGCCAG